GGGCUUGUAAUAUAAUGGUAUUAUACCGCAUUCGCAUUGCGGAAAUGCGAGUUCGAUUCUCGCCAAGUCCAC
RNAcentral lists this transfer RNA (72 nucleotides) under Parcubacteria group bacterium ADurb.Bin247. RNAcentral's name for it is "tRNA-Ala". It matches the Rfam family "tRNA". Rfam says of the family: Transfer RNA (tRNA) molecules are approximately 80 nucleotides in length. Their secondary structure includes four short double-helical elements and three loops (D, anti-codon, and T loops). Further hydrogen bonds mediate the characteristic L-shaped molecular structure. tRNAs have two regions of fundamental functional importance: the anti-codon, which is responsible for specific mRNA codon recognition, and the 3' end, to which the tRNAs corresponding amino acid is attached (by aminoacyl-tRNA synthetases). tRNAs cope with the degeneracy of the genetic code in two manners: having more than one tRNA (with a specific anti-codon) for a particular amino acid; and 'wobble' base-pairing, i.e. permitting non-standard base-pairing at the 3rd anti-codon position. The record is from RNAcentral.